RNAcentral lists this ribosomal RNA (578 nucleotides) under uncultured archaeon. Its description in RNAcentral is "bacterial SSU rRNA". It matches the Rfam family "Archaeal small subunit ribosomal RNA", at positions 74 to 644 of the family's 1478-position model. The record is from RNAcentral.
UUUCAUAGCAAACUGCUUAAUAACACAUGAUCAACCUACCCUAUGGAGGGAACUAACCUCGGGAAACUGAGGAUAAUGUCCCAUAGCAGAUUCGGCUUGGAAAAGUGUAUCUGUGAAAGGGAUACGGAAUAGUCCGUAUGUGCCAUAGGAUGGGAUUGUGGUCGAUUAGGUAGUUGGUGAGGUAAUGGCUCACCAAGCCGAUAAUCGAUAGGGGCCGUGAGAGCGGGAGCCCCAAGAUGGGUACUGAGACAGCGACCCAGGCCCUACGGGGCGCAGCAGGCGCGAAACCUCCACAAUGCACGAAAGUGCGAUGGGGCUACCCAAAGUGCUCCACAAGGAGCUGUGGUGGAUGAGUAAUGUUCUCCACUAGAAAGGAGAGGGCAAGGCUGGUGCCAGCCGCCGCGGUAAAACCAGCUCUUCAAGUGGUCGGGAUAAUUAUUGGGCUUAAAGUGUCCGUAGCUGGUGAGGUAAGUUCCUGGUAAAAUUGGGCAGCUUAACUGUCCUUAUGCUAGGGAUACUGCCUUACUAGAGGGCGGGAGAAGUCUGAGGUACUACAGGGGUAGGGGUGAAAUCUUAUA